GACGAACGCUGGCGGCGUGCUUAACACAUGCAAGUCGAACGGUGACCCAGGGCUUGCCCUGGUGAUCAGUGGCGAACGGGUGAGUAACACGUGGACAACCUGCCCCUGACUUCGGGAUAACUCCUCGAAAGAGGAGCUAAUACCGGAUACGACCACUUCGGACAUCCGAUGGUGGUGGAAAGUUUUCGGUCAGGGAUGGGCCCGCGGCCUAUCAGCUAGUUGGUGGGGUAAUGGCCUACCAAGGCGACGACGGGUAGCCGGCCUGAGAGGGCGACCGGCCACACUGGGACUGAGACACGGCCCAGACUCCUACGGGAGGCAGCAGUGGGGAAUAUUGCGCAAUGGGCGAAAGCCUGACGCAGCGACGCCGCGUGAGGGAUGAAGGCCUCGGGUUGUAACCGUACUUCUAGCAGGGACGAAGCGAAAGUGACGGUACCUGCAGAAGAAGCACCGGCGUAACUACGUGCCAGCAGCCGCGGUAA
RNAcentral lists this ribosomal RNA (482 nucleotides) under uncultured bacterium. RNAcentral's name for it is "bacterial SSU rRNA". It matches the Rfam family "Bacterial small subunit ribosomal RNA", at positions 28 to 523 of the family's 1533-position model. The record is from RNAcentral.